This is a long non-coding RNA of Equus caballus (horse), 2334 nucleotides long. Lineage: Eukaryota; Metazoa; Chordata; Mammalia; Perissodactyla; Equidae. The record is from Ensembl.
UAUCAUUUUCCAUAUUUGCUUCAGAUUUCUUUUUAAGAAAUCAUUACUGAUUAAGCUCAUAGAGCUAAACCCACAACGGUUCCUUACUAAAGUGUUUGCACCCAUAUGCUCUGCCAUCAGCAGUUUGAAAGAGGACCUACUUCUUCAUAUUAGGGUGCAUAAUAACAGUUUGUCACCCUACCUCAUAACACAUUAGGGGGUUUUUAAUAUCUCAACCCAAGGAAGGUAAGUUUUAGGCAUCAGUGAGAGGCAGAUAUGGAAGAUUCAGACAAGGGGACUUUCAGAAUCUCACAUAGUUGCUAACUUUUUUAAUGUUCCCAUCAUCUCUCAUGUCCACUAUAUCCAUUCCUCAUACUUUAGCCAGAGUGAUCUUAAAAACCAAAUCUAGGGCCAGCCCCAUGGCCAAGUGAUUAAAGUUCUGCAUACUCCACUUUGGUAGUCUAGGUUCUCGGUUGAGAUCCCAGGCAUGGACCUACACCACUCAUCAGCCAUGCUGUGGAGGUGUCCCACAUACAAAGUAGAGGAAGACUGACACAGAUCUUAGUCAGCACUAAUCUUCCUCAAGAGAAAAAAGAGGAAGAUUGGCAAUGGAUGUUAGCUCAGGGUGAAACUUCCUCACCGAAAAAAAAAACACCCAAAUCUAAUCAUGUCACUCUCAACUUUAAACUCUUGGGUACCUUCCCAUGGCAUUAAGGAGAAACUCCAAGCCCUUUACCUACACAGCCAACAAGGACCUCUCACCUUUCCCCUUGUCCUCGGCACUGGCCAGGCUGACCUUUCAAUUUCUUAAAGGCGCCGAGCUCCUUGCAUGUUUCUUUUACCUGAAAUUCUCUUUCCCCUGCUCUGUAGUUAGUCAGCUCUGAGUCAUCUUUUAGUUCUCAACUUAAAGUUCCUUCAGUAGAAAAAUUUUCCCUGGCCUCUCCCCACAUCUAAAUCAGGUCUCCCCAUAUAAUCUUCUUAAAUCUCUUGGUUUUUUAAAUCACAAUUUACAAGUGUAUAUUUAUUUACAUGAGUAUUUGUUUAAUGUCUAUUUCUCUUAUUUGACUGCAAGUUUCAAGAAGACAGGGACCAUGAUUAUUUUUUCUUACUUCAAAAUUUACCAGCAUAGUGCCUAUCUCUUCUAUAAUCAAUAAUUAUUUAUUGAAUAAAUGGGUGGAGGUUUCCUGUUCCAGACCUCAGGAUUUAAGGCUUUGUUUCUCAAAAUUGUAUAAUUGCCCUAAUCCUUCCUUAUUUUUCUCUACUAACUUAUAUGUAUCUGCUCUCCACUCUCCCCCUCCGCUUCCUUCCCCACACAUUUGCAUCUUUUCCUCCAUUUAGAAAAAUAAACUGAGGAUUGAUAAUAGAAAGUAUGUCUUAUGUUGAUGAUGUAUAUUCUAGUCUAUUUCUACUAAGUAUUGUAAAAUAAAUUACCAGUUGGCACAUAUGCGAAAAAAGAUUUAUUUCAAAUUUUAGAAGGAUCUCUUUUAAAGAUACCAUAAGAAGACCCCCAAGAGUUCAAGAUGACUUUAAUAAGCAAAAAUGGUCAAACUAAUAAGCCAAAUAGCUAUUUUACAAACUUGGAAUGAAGCACAACUUCUCAACUAUCAGCUUGAAGACAAUGCCAGUCCAUUAAGCAACCAUCAGGUUAAAAAAAAAUGUAAUUUUGAACAGAAUUGCAAGGAUCAUUAACUGCAACUGAACAGUCAUGUCCCAUAGGAAGUUCUUACGAAUCCUAUACACCACCUUGUCAUCUAAUAUUCAGAGAUACGUUCGGAGGUUUAAAAUUGGAUUUUGAUCCUGGAUAUAGACAUUUCUCCAGUCAUAGUUUAAAAUAAAAAUAACAAAGAGCAAAAGGUGGAGCAUCACCAAAUUGGAAUCUCAUGCUUAAAAUUAAAUACGUCAAUACUUCAAAGAACGUUGUUUUUUCAAAAACUGAUCAAUGUUUUCACAUAGAUUGUCAGCCUUCUUCAUUUGCCCUCACACAAUUCCAUCCGAUUACUCCAUGUUUCCUUUUCCUGCAAGAACUCCAGAUAUGACUUGGAUGCAACGUUAGAGCUUAUGCCUCUCUCCCUUCAAAACUGAGACAUUCUCAAGAUUGGAGUCAUUGUAAUGAGAAGGAAACAGAGGAGAGACAAAUUGUUGCCACCCGACAGCUAAAGCUACAAACAGAAAACAGAGUGCUUAAUCCAAAAAUCCAAAGUUUUGACAGGAGGAUGUUGCUGGCUGUGUUCUUUGGGGACUUUUCUUUUGUUGCCGAGAAACCUGCAAUCCCCACUCUGUUAAGAGAGAUGCUCCAGACCAAAGAAUGCCCAGGCUUCCAAUUUCCUUCUCCAUCUGGCUUCCAAACUAUUGACU